RNAcentral lists this ribosomal RNA (422 nucleotides) under uncultured archaeon. Its description in RNAcentral is "partial 16S ribosomal RNA". It matches the Rfam family "Archaeal small subunit ribosomal RNA", at positions 323 to 746 of the family's 1478-position model. The record is from RNAcentral.
CUACGGGUCGCUGCAGACGAGAAAACUUUGCAAUGUGCGAAAGCACGACAAGGUUAAUCCGAGUGGUUUCUGCUAAAGGAACCUUUUGUCAGUCCUAGAAACACUGAUGAAUAAGGGGUGGGCAAGUUCUGGUGUCAGCCGCCGCGGUAAAACCAGCACCUCAAGUGGUCAGGAUGAUUAUUGGGCCUAAAGCAUCCGUAGCCGGCUCUGUAAGUUUUCGGUUAAAUCUGUACGCUCAACGUACAGGCUGCCGGGAAUACUGCAGAGCUAGGGAGUGGGAGAGGUAGACGGUACUCGGUAGGAAGGGGUAAAAUCCUUUGAUCUAUUGAUGACCACCUGUGGCGAAGGCGGUCUACCAGAACACGUCCGACGGUGAGGGAUGAAAGCUGGGGGAGCAAACCGGAUUAGAUACCCCUGUAGUC